GGUCAAUGAUGAGGUUUGGUAUUUUUAUCUGAAUCUAAAGCUGAUUUUAACAUUUAGCUCUAGAAUUACUCUGAGACCUG
Molecule: small nucleolar RNA, 80 nt
Organism: Hemicordylus capensis (graceful crag lizard)
Lineage: Eukaryota; Metazoa; Chordata; Lepidosauria; Squamata; Cordylidae
Product: small nucleolar RNA SNORD45
Exons: 1
Source: RefSeq, a predicted model, not a curated record